GCCUUCGUGGUGUAGUGGUCAGCACGCUCGACGCGUAACCGAGAGGUCCGUGGUUCGAUUCCUGGCGCAGGCG
This 73-nucleotide transfer RNA is filed under the name Stegodyphus mimosarum. It matches the Rfam family "tRNA". From Rfam's summary of the family: Transfer RNA (tRNA) molecules are approximately 80 nucleotides in length. Their secondary structure includes four short double-helical elements and three loops (D, anti-codon, and T loops). Lineage: Eukaryota; Metazoa; Arthropoda; Arachnida; Araneae; Eresidae. The record is from Rfam by way of RNAcentral.